Molecule: ribosomal RNA, 117 nt
Filed under: Enterobacter cloacae subsp. cloacae
Lineage: Bacteria; Pseudomonadati; Pseudomonadota; Gammaproteobacteria; Enterobacterales; Enterobacteriaceae
Source: RNAcentral
CACGGCGGCUUUAGCGCGGUGGUCCCCACCUGACCCCAUGCCGAACUCAGAAGUGAAACGCCGUAGCGCCGAUGGUAGUGUGGGGUCUCCCAUGUGAGAGUAAGGGAACUGCGGGCA